AUUCCUGAGCCUCAGUUUCCAGGGAAUGGCAUAACUGAUAAUUGAGGAGGAGUCAUGCAGUAUUCAUUCAGCUGCUCUUCUCCGAGACUCUGCUAUCUGCUGAGAGACCCUUGAGACAUUCCUGAGACACAUCCUAUCCUGUAUGUCACCUACAGGCUGCCUCCAGAUAUCUAGUUAUGUUGGUCCUAUCAAGGAUUGUCGUGAGAUAAAGAAAAACGUCUCUGGAAAAUUUAUCAGACUAUUCACAAGAAGGUGUUCAAAAUGUCAUUCAUCUGCUAAAGGUCUUCCAUGAUGGGACAGUUUGUGUGCAUGCUCUUAUCCACAGCGGAAGAAGUUAUCUCUCCAUCUAACUCACAUCUGGCCAUGGUCCAGAAAUGAAGAAUUCUGAGUACUUGUGAGAAAACUCCAAGAAACCAAGACAAGAGUCUUGUGACCUGUUUCUCCAAAAUAGAGAACUGUUCUUGGCAAUUUUUUUUUGUGCCUCUCAAGGUGUAGUGGGUAAGAGUGAGUUUACUUCAGAUUACUCAUUAAUGUUUGCUGCUGUUAGUCAAUUAAACAUUUAAACUAUCCUUU
RNAcentral lists this long non-coding RNA (573 nucleotides) under Mus caroli (Ryukyu mouse). RNAcentral's name for it is "RIKEN cDNA 1700121L16 gene (MGP_CAROLIEiJ_G0006880.1)". Lineage: Eukaryota; Metazoa; Chordata; Mammalia; Rodentia; Muridae. The record is from RNAcentral.